This 323-nucleotide ribosomal RNA is filed under the name uncultured bacterium. RNAcentral describes it as "bacterial SSU rRNA". It matches the Rfam family "Bacterial small subunit ribosomal RNA", at positions 28 to 334 of the family's 1533-position model. The record is from RNAcentral.
GAUGAACGCUGGCGGCGUGCCUAACACAUGCAAGUCGAACGGGACUGUUUAGUGAUGAUUUCGGUCUGAACUUUACAGUUUAGUGGCGGACGGGUGAGUAACGCGUGGAUAACCUGCCUUUCACAGGGGGAUAGCAGCUGGAAACGGCUGGUAAUACCGCAUACGCUCUUUACACCGCAUGGUGCAGAGAGGAAAAGAUUUAUCGGUGAAAAGAUGGAUCCGCGUCUGAUUAGCCAGUUGGCGGGGUAACGGCCCACCAAAGCGACGAUCAGUAGCCGGCCUGAGAGGGCGGACGGCCACAUUGGGACUGAGACACGGCCCAG